This is a regulatory RNA element of Kribbella flavida DSM 17836, 79 nucleotides long. It matches the Rfam family "Actino-pnp RNA". Lineage: Bacteria; Bacillati; Actinomycetota; Actinomycetes; Propionibacteriales; Kribbellaceae. The record is from Rfam.
ACCGGUCCUCGGUAGUGGCUUUCGGGAGCAGCCGUCGGCACGACGGCGCGGCACCCGCGGGCCUCGAUCGAAGACCGGC